RNAcentral lists this unclassified non-coding RNA (1814 nucleotides) under Hevea brasiliensis (rubber tree). Lineage: Eukaryota; Viridiplantae; Streptophyta; Magnoliopsida; Malpighiales; Euphorbiaceae. The record is from RNAcentral.
AAAAAUUAUAAGCAAAACCCAUAAUUUGCUUUGACUCCAUAUAGCCUUAAUUUUACCUCAAUUCUUCCUUCUAUAAAAAACCCACCAUCUAUUGCCUUUGCCUCAGAAAAAUUGCUUCCCCUUGUGAAGCUUCUGACCAGAAGGCCAAAAAUGGAGUUGUUCUUUCUUAUUGCCUUAACCAUUUUCAUUAUCAUUGUUACUUUCCCAAUUGUUGCUCUCUUGCACAGGCCAAGUUUCACUAACCUCCCACCAGGCAAGAUGGGCUUGCCAUACAUAGGAGAGAGCCUGGAAUUCCUUUCCACAGGAAGAAAAGGUCAUCCUGAAAAGUUUAUAUCAGAUAGAAUGGCCAGAUACUCUCCUCAACUUUUCAGGACUUCAAUUCUCGGUGAACAAACCGCAGUCGUCUGUGGUGCUCAAGGCAAUAAGUUCUUGUUCUCUAAUGAGAACAAGCUUGUCACUGCUUGGUGGCCUAAUUCAAUAUUGAAACUCUUCCCUUCCUCUGCUCAUAGCUCUAUCCAAGCAGAAGGUAUGAGAAUGAGAAAGAUGUUACCUAACUUUCUCAAACCUGAGGCCUUGCAGAGAUACAUAAGUGUAAUGGAUUCGAUGGCACAAAGACAUUUUGAGGACUUCUGGGAAGGGAAGGAACAAGUGACUGUAUAUCCACUUGCAAAGUUUUAUACUUUCACAGUUGCUUGUAAAGUGUUCCUGAGCAUGGAUGAUUCAAAACAUGUCACCAAGUUUGCUACUCCUUUCAAUGAUAUGGCCUCAGGAAUCAUUUCCAUUCCCAUUGAUUUGCCUGGAACAUCUUUCCAUCGCGGAAUCAAAGCCUCAAAGAUUAUCAGGAACGAGAUGUUGGCAAUGAUCAAGCAAAGGAGGAAGGAUCUUGCUGAGAAUAAAGCUUCUCCAAUGCAAGAUAUACUUUCACAUAUGUUGGUAGCAACUGAUGAAGAUGGGCAGCGCUUGGGGGAUGUUGGGAUAGCUGAUAAGAUCAUCUCUCUGCUCAUUGGAGGCCAUGACACAGCAAGUGCUACCAUCACUUUCGUGGUCAAGUUUCUUUCUGAGCUCCCUGAGAUCUACAACAAUGUUCUGAAAGAGCAAUUGGAGAUUUUAAAAUCAAAAGCACCAGGGGAGUUAUUGAACUGGGAAGACAUCCAGAAGAUGAAAUACUCAUGGAAUGUGGCCUGUGAGGUGAUGAGAUUAGCCCCACCUCUACAAGGUUCCUUCAGAGAAGCCUUACAUGACGUCAACUAUGCUGGCUUCUCCAUUCCAAAGGGAUGGAAAUUAUAUUGGAGCACACAUACAACACACAAGAAUCCUCAAUACUUUCCACAACCUGAAAAAUUCGACCCUUCAAGAUUUGAAGGAUCAGGACCGGCACCUUACACAUUUGUUCCAUUUGGAGGAGGGCCAAGAAUGUGCCCUGGAAAAGAGUACGCAAGAUUGGAAAUACUAGUUUUCAUGCAUAAUAUAGUGAGGAGGUUCAAGUGGGAGAAAGCGAUUCCUGAUGAAAAAAUUGUUGUAGACCCCAUGCCAAUACCUGCUAAAGGGCUUCCAGUUCAUCUCUAUCCUCAAAAACACGAGUAAUUUGUCCAAAAAGAAUGGCUUCUGUCUUGUAACUCCUGCAAACAGCAAUCCCUUCUGUAUAAGCAUGAUCCUAAUAAUUCCUAUUGGCUUGAAACUCUAUUCAUAUGGUUAAAUUUACUUGCAUUUUCUCCUUCCCCUUUAAUGAAUUCCAUUGUACAAGUGAAUGAAAGUUAAUAUUUUCUAAGAACAUCCCGAAUGAUUCUAGAAACUAAGUUAUAACUUUACUCAUC